RNAcentral lists this ribosomal RNA (490 nucleotides) under uncultured bacterium. RNAcentral describes it as "partial 16S ribosomal RNA". It matches the Rfam family "Bacterial small subunit ribosomal RNA", at positions 29 to 507 of the family's 1533-position model. The record is from RNAcentral.
AUUGAACGCUGGCGGCAGGCCUAACACAUGCAAGUCGAACGGUAACAGGAAGCAGCUUGCUUCUUUGCUGACGAGAGGCGGACGGGUGAGUAAUGUCUGGGAAACUGCCUGAUGGAGGGGGAUAACUACUGGAAACGGUAGCUAAUACCGCAUAACGUCGCAAGACCAAAGAGGGGGACCUUCGGGCCUCUUGCCAUCGGUUGUGCCCAGAUGGGAUUAGCUAGUAGGUGUGGUAGCGGCUGACAUAGGCGACGAUCCCUCGCUAGUCUGAGAGGAUGACCAGCCACACUGGAACUGAGACGCGGCGCAGACACCGACGGGCGGCAGCAGUGGGGAAUAGUGCACGAAGGGCGCAAGCCUGAUGCAGCCAUGCCGAGUGGAUGAAGAGAGCCUGCGGGUUGUAAAAUACUUUCAGCGGGGAGGAAGGGAGUAAAGUUAAAAGCUUUGCUUAGUGACGUUACCCACAGAAGAAGCACCGGCUAACUCCGUG